CCAAAAUCAGAUAUCUUUGGGUCAAGAUUGGUAUCAAGCAAUACAUUAGUGGCCUUGAUGUCCCUGUGAACAACCUUCAGUCUUGAUUCUUCAUGGAGGUAUGAGGGUCAAGAUUGGUAUCAAGCAAUACAUUAGUGGCCUUGAUGUCCCUGUGAACAACCUUCAGUCUUGAUUCUUCAUGGAGGUAUGCCAAACCUCUAGCAAUACCAACACAAAUCUUCUGCCUUGUUGGCCAAUCUAAUUUAAUUUGGUGUUCCUCUGGACCUUUAUUUGUAAAUGUAAUAAAAAUCAGAAAAUGAUACCACAUAGCCAUGUGCUAAGUAAAGAUUGUAGACUAUCACAUAAAUAGAAACCUGAAUUAGACCAUAUAGGAA
RNAcentral lists this long non-coding RNA (374 nucleotides) under Lathyrus oleraceus (garden pea). Its description in RNAcentral is "Pisum sativum (pea) long non-coding RNA (PSAT_LNC022009)". The record is from RNAcentral. Lineage: Eukaryota; Viridiplantae; Streptophyta; Magnoliopsida; Fabales; Fabaceae.